RNAcentral lists this long non-coding RNA (460 nucleotides) under Canis lupus familiaris (dog). RNAcentral describes it as "lncRNA (ENSCAFG00000056834.1, ENSCAFG00805002647.1)". The record is from RNAcentral. Lineage: Eukaryota; Metazoa; Chordata; Mammalia; Carnivora; Canidae.
CCAGCAGACUGGCUUUGUGAAAAAAAGAGUUGUAAUUGUUUUUGCUUGAUUGUUGUUUCAGGUAAGAGUGAAUUUGGCUACAAGUAAUGGUGCAGUGGCUGGUUCCUGGCAGUGGCUCCAAUCUCUUUGGGGUUGUUUCCCACGGAUGUGAAGGAGCUGAGAACUUGAGGAAGGUGAUGCCUCCUCGCUAGGUGCCUGCCUAUGACUGAGGAUCAUUAGUAAGUACGCAGUAAACAUCGAAGAAGUUGGGUGGUCAUACUGGUUAUGGGAAGAGGAGAAGCAGUGGAAGAUGGCCUGGAGGGGCGGGGCUGGGGCCAGAUCAUGGAACAUGUGGAAUUUGAAUCAAUUUGAACUUUAGCUUUCAGGCAGUGAGCCCAAGACAAUUUGGGAAGCCAUAUCGACUGUCUACAAAAAAGUUAAAAAGGGCAAGAACUAGAUCUUAAAGUGAGAGAGAGUACAG